AAUAUUGCGCAAGGGAGGGAACUCCGACGUCGCGACGCCGCGUGAGCGAUUAAGGUCUUCUGAUCGUACAUCUCGCUCCUUGGGGGAGAAGGUAGCCGUAAGGAAUCUCGACGGUACCCAUGGAGUAAGCACCGGCUAACUACAUGCCAGCAGCCGCGUUAAUACGUAGGGGGCAAGCGUUGUCCGGAAUUAUUGGGCGUAAAGGGUGCGUAGGCGGCCCUUUAAGUCAGAUGUGAAAGCCCACGGCUUAACCGUGGGACUGCAUUUGAAACUGGAGGGCUUGAGUGUCGGAGAGGGCAGUGGAAUUCCCAGUGUAGCGGUGGAAUGCGUAGAUAUUGGGAGGAACACCAGUGGCGAAGGCGACUGCCUGGACGAUAACUGACGCUGAGGCACGAAAGCUAGGGGAGCAAAC
RNAcentral lists this ribosomal RNA (412 nucleotides) under uncultured bacterium. Its description in RNAcentral is "partial 16S ribosomal RNA". It matches the Rfam family "Bacterial small subunit ribosomal RNA", at positions 360 to 773 of the family's 1533-position model. The record is from RNAcentral.